Long non-coding RNA from Lotus japonicus, 752 nucleotides. RefSeq lists it as uncharacterized. The record is from RefSeq and is a predicted model, not a curated record. The transcript is spliced from 3 exons. Lineage: Eukaryota; Viridiplantae; Streptophyta; Magnoliopsida; Fabales; Fabaceae.
CCCAGUAUCUUCCAAAAAUCCAUCUCUCCUCUCUCGAUAUUUUCUUUCGCAGUGACAAGCGCUCCUUUGUCACUUUCUUCUUCAAAUUUUGUUCUUCUUCACCAUAAAAAAUUACAGCGAAUCACACCAUGAAAUUCAUGCUAUUGAAGGACGAAAUAUAUCUUGCAAGUGGAAAGGCUUUUGGCUUGGUUUUGGAAGUUAGGGUUUGUGUCAAGGAAUGAGAAGAGUACCCACCCACACCUUCACAAUUACUCAGUCGGGUUAUUGAGAUUUAUCGGCUAGUGGUUCGUUCGAUUGGCGUGGAGCUGUUAGGAGCGAUUCAGUUGAUUCGUCUUAGUUAUUUUCAGGCAGCUUAGUAGCAGACUGUUGUCAGAUUCAGAUUAUUCGACUUAUUUCCUUUAGCAGGUUGUCAUAGUGGUGUCUUUUAUUUAAUCCUGGUUAUCUGCAGCUAUAGGGAGUCCUAGGUGGAUUUAGAUUUGGGAUUGUGAUUUUUUGUUAUAUUUUAAGAGUUGGCACUUGAGUGCUCGAGUUGAUUUUAUAUUUCACUUAAAAUACUGGUUAUGGGAGAACAUAUUGGCAGAUGUUGUUAAUUUGUAACUAUUGGAAUUACAAAAGAGAUUCUAAUGUUUUUAUAUAUGUGUACAAAGACAUUUUGAAUAAAUUGUUUGGAAAAUGAUUCUAUGAGGAAGAGGCUUGCCAGGCUAGGGUGGUAGUCUGUGCGCCGGUCACGGCUUAUGAUUUUGGGUCGUGAC